This 645-nucleotide long non-coding RNA is filed under the name Rattus norvegicus (Norway rat). RNAcentral's name for it is "long non-coding RNA NONRATT005022". Lineage: Eukaryota; Metazoa; Chordata; Mammalia; Rodentia; Muridae. The record is from RNAcentral.
ACUCCUUUGCUGAAUCCAGUGAGUCAUCUGCCAGGGAUGAACUUGAAAUAGUGACUUGACAGACCCUAGAGCUCCCUAAAGCAGCCCAGAAAGCAGUGUAGUUGGUUCCAACCAAACCCGAGGGCAAAUGGUGAUGUCAGUUUGCUACUGAAGAGGAACACGGAUCCCCUUUAUUUAUGGAAGUAAUGUUUUGAGAAUAAAGGGGGUGGUUGGUAAUGUUAAGGAAACACUGUUUCCUGGGCACCAUGAUCUCCCGACGCUUGUGGUAGUACACACAAGAUCUCCACAACCUCCAGCCAGAGUUCCAACAGACAACAGAGAAAGUGGUCAGUCACCCCCCACUACCAAGGAACCAUCAGCAUUCGAUAGCUUCCUUUCAUGGUGUGACACUGAUUGGCUGACUACACACUACAGUAGGUCCCAAUCCCCAAAACAGAGGUCCCAGUCCCCAAAACAGAGGUCCCAGUCCCCAAAACAGAGGGUCAAGGAAACCUGUGGAGAAAGAAGGAAAAAAUAAUCUCAAAGUUGGUAUGGGAAAGUGUGGGAGGAUCCAGAGAAGUGGGAAUGAGAGUGGGGUGUGCUCAAAAUAAAUCACAUGAAAUUCUCAAAGAAUUAAUAAAAAUUUUGCAAAAAAAAAAAAAAAAA